UACGGGACGGCAGCGAUGGGGGAAUAUUGCACAAUGGGCGCAAGCCUGAUGCAGCCACUGCCGUCGUGUAUGAAGAAGGCCUUCGGGUUGUAAAGUACUUUCAGCAGUGAGGAAGGUGGAUAUGUUAAUAGCAUAUUCAUUUGACGUUAGCUGCAGAAGAAGCACCGGCUAACUCCGUGCCAGCAGCCGCGGUAAUACGGAGGGUGCGAGCGUUAAUCGGAAUUACUGGGCGUAAAGCGCAUGCAGGUGGUUUGUUAAGUCAGAUGUGAAAGCCCGGGGCUCAACCUCGGAAUUGCAUUUGAAACUGGCAAACUAGAGUACUGUAGAGGGGGUAGAAUUUCAGGUGUAGCGGUGAAAUGCGUAGAGAUCUGAAGGAAUACCGGGUGGCGAAGGCGGCCCCCUGGACAGAUACUGACACUCAGAUGCGAAAGCGUGGGGAGCAAACAGGAUUAGAUACCCUGGUAG
Molecule: ribosomal RNA, 465 nt
Filed under: uncultured bacterium
Lineage: Bacteria
Description: bacterial SSU rRNA
Rfam family: Bacterial small subunit ribosomal RNA
Source: RNAcentral